GACUAGGUUGCCGGUUAGCUGAAAAAUAUUCAUGCUGUGGAAGCUGCUUUCCCCUAAAAAGGAAAGCCGAGUUCCGAUUUGGUAGGUGACCUUUGCCGGUUGCAUGCCUUCGUUGCUCGCCAAGGCUUUCAUGAAAGCGUGUGCAGGACGCCUUUUUGGCUUUCGACCUGAGGUCAGGCAAGAACACCCGCUGAACUUAA
Molecule: unclassified non-coding RNA, 200 nt
Filed under: soil metagenome
Description: partial contains internal transcribed spacer 2 and large subunit ribosomal RNA
Source: RNAcentral